GUGGGUGGAGCUUAGUGGUAGAACACAUGCUUACCAAGCAUGAGGUCCUGGGUUCAAUCCCCAGUACCUCCA
This 72-nucleotide transfer RNA is filed under the name Camelus bactrianus (Bactrian camel). It matches the Rfam family "tRNA". Rfam says of the family: Transfer RNA (tRNA) molecules are approximately 80 nucleotides in length. Their secondary structure includes four short double-helical elements and three loops (D, anti-codon, and T loops). Further hydrogen bonds mediate the characteristic L-shaped molecular structure. tRNAs have two regions of fundamental functional importance: the anti-codon, which is responsible for specific mRNA codon recognition, and the 3' end, to which the tRNAs corresponding amino acid is attached (by aminoacyl-tRNA synthetases). tRNAs cope with the degeneracy of the genetic code in two manners: having more than one tRNA (with a specific anti-codon) for a particular amino acid; and 'wobble' base-pairing, i.e. permitting non-standard base-pairing at the 3rd anti-codon position. The record is from Rfam by way of RNAcentral. RNAcentral also lists the same sequence under 1 other name. Lineage: Eukaryota; Metazoa; Chordata; Mammalia; Artiodactyla; Camelidae.